RNAcentral lists this long non-coding RNA (1327 nucleotides) under Theobroma cacao (cacao). RNAcentral describes it as "long non-coding RNA (TCAC_LNC001494)". Lineage: Eukaryota; Viridiplantae; Streptophyta; Magnoliopsida; Malvales; Malvaceae. The record is from RNAcentral.
GUGAAUGCAUGCCUAGCUAUGUGCUCCUGCUGCCUCAAUGGGAGAAAGAAAUUGCAGCUGGGGGUGAAUUCUAGGAGACAGAGGCGACAAUGGGGCAGCGGGUCAGUUAAAACGAAAGUGCUGAAGCUCCAGAGAGUCGUGCCACGCAGCCAUGGGCUGCACCUCGAUCAGCUUUUGGUUCAUACAGCUGACUACAUCUUGCAGUUGAGGUUGCAAGUUAGUGUUCUGGAGGAUCUUGUCAAAUUCCAUGAGCCAUGAGGCCUUAUGCAUGCGUUUCUGUACUGAUGAAAAAUCUUUUGUUUUCUCCUUAUUGUAAAAUUUCCUCCAUAAUUCUACUUCAUUUUCAUGAAUGUGGAGUGAUAGUCAUAUAUUGGCGCACCAAGCCCUGCAAUCUCACCAUAUCCAUAUAGCUUUUGAGAGGACAAAAAAUUUAGCCAAUUCAAUGGGAAAUCAUUGCUUCACCUUAUUUCUGUUGAUUAAUCUGCAAAACCAUGCAUGUUCAAAAAAUGUAUUUUCAAAUCACAAGUUACUUCUUUUUUUCUCAUUUCAACCACUUCCAGAAGGGUAGGGACAAAGGGUCAAAACACAAGUACCAGUAUAAAUAAUGGUUUUAGUGUUUUUUCUUGAUAUUUUAAUGAUUGAUCUAAACAAAUUAUUGAACGUACAGAUUUAACAAAAGGAAUCAAAUAUUGGGUUAAAAAAUGUAAUUAAAAGCAGAAAAUUCUUGAACUGAUAUGUUCAUGUUAAUGCCUACCUUGCAGUCUUUGCUGUUUUCCUUUUUUUUUUUCGGUUGAGCAACAGAAAGAACUACAUUUACAAACUACGCCACCCAGAGAAAAAAGGUACCUUCAUCAUUGAGUGAAGAAGCAAUAGGACAAAGAACAAGAUCACACCAUCACCAUUACUGAAGCCCAAUAAAGCUCCUUCCGUUUCUUCCUCUUCUCCAACGACACCUCGUCCUCCAUUCUCACCCCAGCAACACUAAAGACAACCCAGAAGAGAAAAAGAAACAAAAAGGGUUAUGUUACUGCUUUGACAUCAGAGAAGAAAGCUUUAAAAGCUUUGGUUCAUUGCGCAGACAGAGAAAGAAGAAAACAGGCGUUUGGCGUGUUUGGUAUGCAGAAGCACUGUUGGAUCAUUCAAUUUCUGUUUUGUUUUUCUCUUUUUAAGGCAGAAGUUCAUGUUUCCUUGUCAAAACCAAUUUAAUAAAUUUCCAUAUUGUUAAGAUUACUGUACAAAUUAUCCAGACAGAGUUAUAAUAGAUAAUUUGUAUAUUUAUUUUAACAGAUAUGAAAUAUUGGAGCAUAUGAUUACAAUUCUUCUCGAC